AGAUUGAACGCUGGCGGCAUGCCUAACACAUGCAAGUCGAGCGGCAGCGCGGGGGCGACCCUGGCGGCGAGCGGCGGACGGGUGAGUAAGGCAUCGGAAUCUGCCCUGAUGUGGGGGAUAACGUAGGGAAACUUACGCUAAUACCGCAUACGACCGAGAGGUGAAAGCGGGGGACCGAAAGGCCUCGCGCAGCAGGAUGAGCCGAUGUCCGAUUAGCUGGUUGGUGGGGUAACGGCCCACCAAGGCAUCGACGGAUAGCUGGUCUGAGAGGACGAUCAGCCACACUGGAACUGAGACACGGUCCAGACUCCUACGGGAGGCAGC
Molecule: ribosomal RNA, 324 nt
Filed under: uncultured prokaryote
Description: bacterial SSU rRNA
Rfam family: Bacterial small subunit ribosomal RNA
Source: RNAcentral